RNAcentral lists this ribosomal RNA (247 nucleotides) under uncultured bacterium. Its description in RNAcentral is "partial 16S ribosomal RNA". It matches the Rfam family "Bacterial small subunit ribosomal RNA", at positions 523 to 769 of the family's 1533-position model. The record is from RNAcentral.
AUACGUAGGGUGCAAGCGUUAAUCGGAAUUACUGGGCGUAAAGGGUGCGCAGGCGGCGCCAUAAGACAGAUGUGAAAUCCCCGGGCUCAACCUGGGAACUGCGUUUGUGACUGUGGUGCUUGAGUGCGGCAGAGGGGGGUGGAAUUCCACGUGUAGCAGUGAAAUGCGUAGAUAUGCGGAGGAACACCGAUGGCGAAGGCAAUCCCCUGGGCCUGCACUGACGCUCAUGCACGAAAGCGUGGGGAGC